GAUGAAGAACGCAGCGAAAUGCGAUACGUAAUGUGAAUUGCAGAAUUCAGUGAAUCAUCGAAUCUUUGAACGCAUAUUGCGCUCUCUGGUAUUCCGGAGAGCAUGCUUGUUUGAGUAUCAGUAAACACCUCAACUUCCAUAUCUUUUUUGAAAUGGGAGUUGGACUUGAGUGAUCCCAACGCUUUUCCUCACCGAAAAGUGGCGGGUUACUUGUAAUGCAGGUGCAGCUGGACUUUUCUCUGAGCUAUAAGCAUAUCUAUUUAGUCUGCCUAAAAAACAGAUUAUUACCUUUGCUGCAGCUAACAUAAAGGAGAUUAGUUCUUGUGCUGACUGAUGCAGGAUUCACAAAGACGGCUUCGGCCGACUUUGUAAACUCGAUCUCAAAUCAAGUAAGACUACCCGCUGAACUUAAGCAUAUCAAUAAGCGGAGGA
Molecule: unclassified non-coding RNA, 432 nt
Filed under: soil metagenome
Description: partial contains 5.8S ribosomal RNA, internal transcribed spacer 2, and large subunit ribosomal RNA
Rfam family: 5.8S ribosomal RNA (bases 1-120)
Source: RNAcentral